UCCUAGACCAAAACAAGCUAUGAAUGCCGCAACAGAUGCUGCGAACUAAAAGGUGAACUGCCAGAAAAAAUACGAUUACAGGAUUGGCUGAUUGACCAAGAACAAAAAUGAAACCUCGUCAUCCUGGGUUCGGACUUAGUUAUCUAUUUGGAUAACUGGGCACAAUUUAUGUUAUGUGUUGCAUGUUUGUGUUUUGUGCAUUUGUAAUGUUCCAUUUUAUUUUGCGUAUCUAAGUUCCCAGACGUGGGGCCCGAUACGGAAAAUAAAAUGUGCAUUUGUAAGGUUCCAAUGUUUUCGUUACAUUGGCGCCCAACGCGGGGCAUUGUGCAUUAUAAGGUUCCAAUGCAUUUUCCGUUACAUUGGCGCCCAACGUGGGGCCUUGCGCAUUUAUAAGGUUCCAAUGUUUUCGUUACAUUGGCGCCCAACUAAAAAACCCACGUUUAUGUUAUAGUUUAUUGUUUCUUUGUUGAUCCAUCUGGUUUCGGUUAGGUAAACUUAGAGUAGAUCAGAUAUGAGCGUCCGCAACAGUAAAGAUAGAUGAAGAUUAAAUGCUUGGUUGAUGGCAGUUCUUUGGCCGUUGGUUAAUGGCGUUAGAUUAUAUCCUUUGCCAGAAUUCGCUGGCGUUAUUAGUUUUAAGUUAGCCUGGUGGCAAUUAGUUUUAAGUUAGCCUGGUGGCAAUUAGUUUAAGGUUAGCCUGGU
Molecule: long non-coding RNA, 699 nt
Organism: Aedes albopictus (Asian tiger mosquito)
Lineage: Eukaryota; Metazoa; Arthropoda; Insecta; Diptera; Culicidae
Exons: 2
Source: RefSeq, a predicted model, not a curated record